This is a long non-coding RNA of Papaver somniferum (opium poppy), 770 nucleotides long. RefSeq lists it as uncharacterized. The record is from RefSeq and is a predicted model, not a curated record. Lineage: Eukaryota; Viridiplantae; Streptophyta; Magnoliopsida; Ranunculales; Papaveraceae. The transcript has 2 exons.
UUUUUCUCUUUUCUUUCCUUUUCUCUGUUUUUCUUCAAACCUUCAUAAACCUCACUUCACAUGGGUUGAUUAAAGACGAUUCUGUGUUUAAGGAGGUGAAAUCUUACAAGGGUUCGUUCUUGAGGCCGUGGGGAAACUAUUGGUGGUAUUUUUGUGCGAUUUCAUCAACAAAUCUACACUAGGAAGAUUUACGCCGGUUUGCGGGGGAAGCUUACUGGCUGAUCCAAUUCACAAGACAAGGAAUCGACAAUGAGUCUCGUCGUCGAGCGCAGUAUCACAUCCCUACAACGCAUCGUAGUUCCGAAACAUCUGACGGCCUCUUCAAUUCAAGUCAGGAAGAACAGACAUUUUUCAGCAUUUAUACGCAGGUGUAUCUUUGUCGGAAACCCAACACCGUCACAAGCGUCCGACUGCAGACCCAUCCGCAUCGACUGCUUAUUACUUCCCUUAUGUUGUUGAGAGUAACGUUCAUGUAGAUCCCAACCCUUCAAUAACGCAUGCCUCGCCAAAAUAUAGUGAUUUACCAAACUCUAGUGAGUUUCCAGGGAUGAGCUUGGAUGGUAGUUGGCAGGAUCGUAUUUAUGGUAGUGGUCAGAGAGUUGAUGAUGGUGCUGAUACGGACUUUGUGCCAAAAAAUCAGUUAUUUCCCUCUAUCUAUUAAAACUUGUUACAAUGGUGUUGAUUAGAAAGGGUGUAGUAGUUGUUUGUUACUUUUUUCUUUUUUGAUAUAUUUAGUUUCUCCUAAUAUAAGCUGGACAUUGUAUUAUCCA